UGGAAGUAAAAAGUCGUAACAAGGUCUCCGUUGGUGAACCAGCGGAGGGAUCAUUACCGAGUUUACAACUCCCAAACCCCUGUGAACAUACCAAUUGUUGCCUCGGCGGAUCAGCCCGCUCCCGGUAAAACGGGACGGCCCGCCAGAGGACCCCUAAACUCUGUUUCUAUAUGUAACUUCUGAGUAAAACCAUAAAUAAAUCAAAACUUUCAACAACGGAUCUCUUGGUUCUGGCAUCGAUGAAGAACGCAGCAAAAUGCGAUAAGUAAUGUGAAUUGCAGAAUUCAGUGAAUCAUCGAAUCUUUGAACGCACAUUGCGCCCGCCAGUAUUCUGGCGGGCAUGCCUGUUCGAGCGUCAUUUCAACCCUCAAGCCCUCGGGUUUGGUGUUGGGGAUCGGCGAGCCCUUGCGGCAAGCCGGCCCCGAAAUCUAGUGGCGGUCUCGCUGCAGCUUCCAUUGCGUAGUAGUAAAACCCUCGCAACUGGUACGCGGCGCGGCCAAGCCGUUAAACCCCCAACUUCUGAAUGUUGACCUCGGAUCAGGUAGGAAUACCCGCUGAACUUAAGCAUAUCAAUAAGCGGAGGAA
RNAcentral lists this ribosomal RNA (585 nucleotides) under fungal sp. ARIZ L424. Its description in RNAcentral is "eukaryotic LSU rRNA". The stretch from base 205 to 358 matches the Rfam family "5.8S ribosomal RNA". Lineage: Eukaryota; Fungi. The record is from RNAcentral.